Sus scrofa (pig) is the source of this 1032-nucleotide non-coding RNA. Lineage: Eukaryota; Metazoa; Chordata; Mammalia; Artiodactyla; Suidae. The record is from RefSeq and is a predicted model, not a curated record.
UCACGGCAACGCCGGAUCGUUAACCCACUGAGCAAGGGCAGGGACCGAACCCGCAACCUCAUGGUUCCUAGUCGGAUUCGUUAACCACUGCGCCACGACGGGAACUCCAGAAAGACUUUUCUUAGACACUCCAUCUCUCAAUCUGCAUCUGACAUAAGGCGCAAACUACAAAAAUUGGAGGAAAGCCCUCACACCCAACCACAGGAUCUCUUGAGCCUUGCCUUCAAGGUCUGUGAUAAUUGGGAUGAAGAGGUUAAAAGCCAAAAAUUAAAAAGAGAUCAGGCUAAAUACCAAACGCUGGCAACUGCCAUUCAGGGCUCCCAAAAAUACAGGCUCCCUCCUGAGGACAAUGGCUCCAAGGCCCCUCCAGACCCAUGUUACAGAGGCCACUGAAAGGUCAGCUGUGACCAAGCUCUUCAGGAGAGGCCACAUCCCUGCCUUUGGAGAGACCUGAAUCAUCAAACCUCCACCUGCCGAGCCACCUUGGCCUGACUGCAGAAGACUGAGGGUGCCUGGGGCCCCCGGCCCCAGGCCUAUCACUCCAUCGGAGCCCUGGGGAACUCUGCUAGUUGCAGACCGGCGAGGCAGACACACACACUGGAGAUUGUCAUCGAAGGCAACACAUACUUCAGUAGAGAGAAGUGCAGGCCUGGAGGAGGAGGCUAACCUCUCUUACUCCCCACGAGCUGUGCCAAGAUUCUACGGCCUCAGGCAGGGCCAGCAUGUUGUAUUGGACAGUUAUCCAUGCUGGUUCCACUGAGACUGCUGCUUCUUGAGCCCACAGGAUCCCGUUGGCUCUUGGGGCCCUGAAACCCAUGAGGAAUCUGGGAACCUAGGCAAAGUGACCCAGUCAAAUAGCUUUGUCAUAGGUGACAAAGUAACCAAGACUGCUGCUACUACCACCGAAGUGUGACACCUGCAGUCAUAAUCCAAGGAUAAGGCUGCAUUUCUUCGGUUAAAGUGAACAAGGGACUCUUCCAGAGCUGAGGUGGGCUGGUUUAUCCUGAAACAAGCCUGAGGAGAGAAGGCAAG